AGCUGCUCUGAAGGUAGUGAGUUAUCUCAGUUGAUUGUUCACAGUCAGUUACAGAUCGAACUCCUUGUUCUACUCUUUUCCCUGUUCUCACUAUUGGACUUGAAUAGUCUUAA
This 113-nucleotide Y RNA is filed under the name Pan troglodytes (chimpanzee). It matches the Rfam family "Y RNA". From Rfam's summary of the family: Y RNAs are components of the Ro ribonucleoprotein particle (Ro RNP), in association with Ro60 and La proteins. The Y RNAs and Ro60 and La proteins are well conserved, but the function of the Ro RNP is not known. In humans the RNA component can be one of four small RNAs -- hY1, hY3, hY4 and hY5. The record is from RNAcentral. Lineage: Eukaryota; Metazoa; Chordata; Mammalia; Primates; Hominidae.